RNAcentral lists this unclassified non-coding RNA (431 nucleotides) under Hevea brasiliensis (rubber tree). The record is from RNAcentral. Lineage: Eukaryota; Viridiplantae; Streptophyta; Magnoliopsida; Malpighiales; Euphorbiaceae.
GACAGAUUUAUAUAUACAUGUUCUCAUUCAAAAAAAAUCAGAGAGGCAAUUCCUAACCACUAAAGCAUAUAUAAUUAAUCUACCCUUGGAACGUAAUUGCAUUAAUACUAGAAAGCAGAUUAAAUUGAAAUUGGGCAUACCAAAGCAAUUAAAUUUCUUGGUGAUGGGGAUAAUUGAAGGUGAAUCAAUGGAAAUGCCUGUGGUGAUGAUGAUGGUGUCUAUGGUCAUCCCAACCAAAGCACUGCACAACAGGGUAACAACAUACAAACAAACAUCUACUAACCCUUUUAGAAAUGGAGGACACCAGAAAACAUGGCAUGCAUGGAUUCAUAUAUCUUCUUGUUCUGGUGAUCUUCCCUUGCUCUUGCUGGGAAAGACCAUGACUUUCCUUGCCCUUUGUCAUCCCAAAUCAACCACUUCAAAACUUUGAG